RNAcentral lists this long non-coding RNA (397 nucleotides) under Betta splendens (Siamese fighting fish). RNAcentral's name for it is "lncRNA (ENSBSLG00000016236.1)". Lineage: Eukaryota; Metazoa; Chordata; Actinopteri; Anabantiformes; Osphronemidae. The record is from RNAcentral.
GGGUGGGAGUGGAGGGGCAACAGAUGGGAGGAAUGACACAUGAGACGUGGCGUGAUCUAGAUACAGGCAGAUUGAUAUUGACAGACAACAGGACGAGUGCAGUGUGAGGAAGCAGCGCGGGCAGAUACAUCAUGGAUGUGGAGCUAACGUGGACCUGAGGGCUAAUUAUUUCAGUGGUCUCUGGUAUCAACAGCUGUGGAGGAGGACAAAUAGACUUGAGACAAAUGAAGGACAGUCUAGUUCUUUUUUGACGGCGGUGCACUGGACGAAGAUCACACCUGCUGCACCGCUGGCACGCUGUAAUCAGGGCGCGUCUGGUGGCAAACAAAAUCAGGCCCAGCACUGGUCAUUAGCAGGGUUGAUGAAUAGGCAUCAACCCAGAUCACAUGUCAUGUAA